CAGCAGCCACGGGAAUACGAAGGGGGCUAGCGUUGUUCGGAAUUACUGGGCGUAAAGCGCACGUAGGCGGACAUUUAAGUCAGGGGUGAAAUCCCAGAGCUCAACUCUGGAACUGCCUUUGAUACUGGGUAUCUUGAGUAUGGAAGAGGUGAGUGGAAUUCCGAGUGUAGAGGUGAAAUACGUAGAUAUUCGGAGGAACACCAGUGGCGAAGGCGGCUCACUGGUCCAUUACUGACGCUGAGGUGCGAAAGCGUGGGGAGCAAACAGGAUUAGAUACCCCGGUAGUCCCUGUCUCUUAUAC
Molecule: ribosomal RNA, 301 nt
Filed under: uncultured bacterium
Lineage: Bacteria
Description: partial 16S ribosomal RNA
Rfam family: Bacterial small subunit ribosomal RNA
Source: RNAcentral